CUCGUGCAUCUGCUAUGCGCAUCUCCGCUGGUGGUGAGCCACGGUCUCCACAGGACAGCAUGACUGCAGACAAGCCAUACGCAUUCCGCCAUCCGCUGCCCGGACAAGCUGCGCUCUCCCGCGGCGUGGAAUGCAGCGCCCCCUCCUGGCUGUAUGCUUACUCAGAUGGAGGAGGUCAGGUUCCUGGACCAUAGCGGUGUCUCCUGCCCACAGGGUGAUCCCUCGAAACCACAGCCAGUGCUGAAUGAUGCCGAUGGAAAAUGAAAGCAGACAGCACCGCCCUGCACCUGAUUAUAGGAACCCUGGCAUGAUUGUUCUUGCGAAACUAUGAGGCCCCCCCAGAGCUACUCAGGACUAUGACAUCAUGGCAAGCUGGUGCAAUGUGUGACCCAGAAUCCUUUGUGGUUCCUGUUGGAUCAGGAGAGGCAUGCCCUGUGCUAAUUUUUCUGCUCUGAUGAACUCCCUCACAUUUUCACCUUUGGUCACGAACUCAGAAACUCCAAAUUAGGACUCAGUCCCCGUGCAGCCCAGAUGAUGUGUGAUUGGAUAUUAUGGGAAAUUAGUCCCGCCCUACACAUGCACUGUCACCUUGGCAGCCAUAUCGCACAGUAGUGUGUCUCUCUCUGGCAUCCCAGGUGGUGUGUUUUUCUCUGGAAUUAUGGGUAAAACUGCUCAGUCUUUCAAAGAAGUGUUUAAUGUUCGGCAGUCAGGUGACCUUGGAGGUUUUUCUCUCUCUACUUGGGAGUUUUUGAUUCCGCUCCUCCGUUGUCUUCUGUUUUUCUCUCUUUUCAUUUCUUUGUCCUCGCCAUUCCCCUGUUUUAGUAUUAUUCUGUAUAAAUGGUGCAGCGAUGUAUCACAACACUCAUGUAAAUCACUUUGAGGUGAUUCUGUUGGGAACGGUGCUAUAAAAAAUAAAUAUAAUCCAAACUGAAUUGAAUCAGGUGACAGUAUCAUUUUUAGCAAGUGAUUCUUAUGUGGUGAAAUCUUACCUUUGUGGUUCAGGGGGUUUGGAUGCUAUGCCUGUGGUUGGAAAGUCGCCAGUUCGAAUCUCAAGGUUGGUAGUGUGAUGUCACCGUUGGACCCCUGAACAAGGCCCAUAACCCCCCUUAUUCAGGGACAGUGUGACCCAGCCUUCUCAAUUGUACAUGGCUUUGGGCACAAAUGUUUGCCAAAGUAAAUGUAAGACGAGGUUAUUAUUAUAGUAAGAUUUAGGAUUAGCUGAACAGCAUGAGAGUGGAGAUUGAAUUCGUACUUCUACAUCUCACCUUCUUUCAGACCAGAUUUCACGGCUUUGGUAGUUAAUGGCUCCUGUAGCUGACCUCCCCAUUCUGUAGCACCCAGGGGGCGACACAUAAAUCUUCCCCUGACCAGCAGAGGGCAGCAAAGAGUAGAACCGGCCAUCUCUUCUAGGGCCUUGUUUAGGAAUGAGAGGACCAAAGGUCAACAGCGGGAGG
Brienomyrus brachyistius is the source of this 1454-nucleotide long non-coding RNA. RefSeq lists it as uncharacterized. The record is from RefSeq and is a predicted model, not a curated record. The transcript is spliced from 3 exons. NCBI's taxonomy places the organism in Eukaryota, Metazoa, Chordata, Actinopteri, Osteoglossiformes, Mormyridae.